Long non-coding RNA from Ipomoea nil (Japanese morning glory), 120 nucleotides. RefSeq lists it as uncharacterized. The record is from RefSeq and is a predicted model, not a curated record. Lineage: Eukaryota; Viridiplantae; Streptophyta; Magnoliopsida; Solanales; Convolvulaceae. The transcript is spliced from 3 exons.
UUUAGGUUAAAAAAGUGAGGGAUAUUUUUUAAUUAGGAAUAAGGGCCAAAUUGGCCACUGAACGUAACGCGAAAGUGCAAUCAGGCCACUCAACCUAAAAAAAGUGCAAUUAGCCCAUCC